AGCUCUCAAUCUGUAAACAUGGACUAGGAGUCCUUGGAGCAUAUUUUGUGAGGAUACUAUGCUGGCAUUAAGUUGUUGGGUGUAGAGGCUUGCAUCGUUUACUGUGAAAAAAUUAGAGUGUUUCAAGCAGGCGUUUGCUUUUUGAAUACAUUAGCAUGGAAUAAUAGGAUAUGACUCGCGUGGUCUAUUUUGUUGGUUUGCACACGCAAGUAAUGAUUAAUAGGGACAGUUGGGGGUAUUCAUAUUUGAGCGUCAGAGGUGAAAUUCUUGGAUCGCUGAAAGAUGAGCUUAGGCGAAAGCAUUUAUCAUGGAUGUUUUCAUUAAUCAAGAACGAAAGUUAGGGGAUCGAAGAUGAUUAGAUACCAUCGUAGUCUUAACCAUA
This 382-nucleotide ribosomal RNA is filed under the name Diatomophthora perforans. RNAcentral's name for it is "SSU rRNA". It matches the Rfam family "Eukaryotic small subunit ribosomal RNA", at positions 654 to 1034 of the family's 1831-position model. Lineage: Eukaryota; Oomycota; Diatomophthoraceae. The record is from RNAcentral.